This is a long non-coding RNA of Ictalurus punctatus (channel catfish), 1589 nucleotides long. RefSeq lists it as uncharacterized. The transcript is spliced from 4 exons. NCBI's taxonomy places the organism in Eukaryota, Metazoa, Chordata, Actinopteri, Siluriformes, Ictaluridae. The record is from RefSeq and is a predicted model, not a curated record.
AUGUUUUUUCUCCUCAUCUUUACACAUAGUUAUAAAUCUGUUAUGUAGUUUAAUUCAAUUAAAUCGUUAAACAGCGCUUCAGCUAUACGUUUUAAAGAGGAGACAGCUAACUAGCGCUUAGCCCUAAGAUGAAAUCUACCGAAAAUGAUUGAAGCUGUGAUGUAGAGAGUAGAAACUUCUUUUGAGUAAAAUCUAACAUGUUAAAGUUCAAGGCUCAAGGUUUACUUCUUCCUGUGGACCUUUUUAUUUUUACACCCAUUUCCCCACAAAAAUGUUAGCUUUCUAAAUAGCCAACAUAAUUAAACUAAACCAUGGACACCUGGGGCAAAUCAAAGACAUCCUCACACAUAACCCAAUACUCAAGCAGGAAGAGCAUGAACCAAAACAAAGUCAUAUGUCCACUUAGAAACCGCGCCGCAGUGCCAUCUGCCGGCCGUGUCGUAACAAUAAUGGCGUUUUUGUUCUAUACUCUUUACGUUAGGUUUAUCGAAAUUGUUUAUUCACACUGCCAGAGGUGUUCAGCCAGGAAUUCUUCAUUCUCAAAAUGCCACUGUGGUUUAAUAAACUGGACAUUGGCCUCUUGCUGGUUUUUGGCAGGUAAAUUAUUGAUUAUGAUAUGCCUGGAACAAUGCUGUUGUUCUGUGCUUUUGAGGUGAAAUCAGUGCACACUUCCUGUGUUGAAGUAUGCCAACCAUCUAUUAUCAUAAAUGUUACAACUGAUUUUUAAAAUAAAUGAUGAUUAUAUGCUUUAUCUUCAUCAUCAGUUUUUUAAAUAGGAAAAGUUGGACAAAUGUAGAAUUGUCCAAUUACUGUAACACUAGUAUAUGCAAAAAGUUGUAAAACCAACUGGUAUGUAUUAAUUGUGUAAGAGUGUGCCUUUUCUGUCAUCUCUAGUGUCACCAUCGUUGCAGCUCCAUUUGUGACACCAGUCAAGCGUAAAUAUUGCUCUUCCAUAGAAGUUACAUGUGUGUUUGAUGGUAGUGGGGGAAAUUGAUGCUUCCUAAAUUUGAAAAUGGCACUGAGGUAUGAUUCAUGCUGGAGGAGAAAAGUUAAGAGCCAGCAAAGUACUUGCAAAAGAUACAGAAGAAAGCUAGACACACGAGGAGUGGAGAAUGCAGUUUCUAGAAUCAAAGUGGAGGCCAGGUGACUAUUGCACCGAAGGAAUACCUUGUCUUCCUGAACAUACUACAUUUACACCAGUUAUGAGUCAGUUCUGAGAUUUUGGCAGGUUUGCUUUGAUACAGCUAAAAUACUGUCUUCCUUGUCUAAAUGGCUGCAUUACAAGAAAGUGAUCAUUUUCUGAAAUUGAAAGACACAUGGAGCUGAGUGAUAUUAAUGAUAGACUCUAACUGAUUAUCAUCCUCGUUACUAAUAAGCUGUUUUCCCAAUGUCUAUGUCCUAUUUAAGAGCAAAUAAUAGUGUUAGAUUAUUGAUGUUGAAAUAUCCAGUGAAAAAUAUUUCGAUUUGCUUUUGUCUGCAUUAUGUAACCCCAAUUUUCACCAUGUAAAUAUCAAAACAUAUUUAAAAUGUCUUGGAAGUUUGUUUUUGUCAUGCACAAGCAUAUCAAAUACAUUACAAUGAGGACCAUG